GCCCAGGUGGUGAAAUUGGUAGACACGCAGGCUUGAGGGGCCUGUGGAAGCAAUUCCGUGAAAGUUCGAGUCUUUUCCUGGGCA
Molecule: transfer RNA, 84 nt
Filed under: Labilibacter sediminis
Lineage: Bacteria; Pseudomonadati; Bacteroidota; Bacteroidia; Marinilabiliales; Marinilabiliaceae
Description: Labilibacter sp. CG51 tRNA-Leu
Rfam family: tRNA
About the family: Transfer RNA (tRNA) molecules are approximately 80 nucleotides in length. Their secondary structure includes four short double-helical elements and three loops (D, anti-codon, and T loops).
Source: RNAcentral